GCUGUUUGCUGGUCUCUCCUCUUUGAGACAUGUGCACGCUUGUUAUCUUUAUUUCUCCAACUGUGCACACAUUGUAGACCUGGUAUUUUGGAUUGUUCGAGUAAAAUCGAAUAGAUUGAGGAUUGCUGAGCUUUCUCAAAGACAGCUUUGCCUUGCAUUUCCAGGUCUAUGUUAUUUCAUAAACCUUUGAAUAUGUUACAGAAUGUUGAAUUGGGUCUUUGCACCUAUAAAGUUAAAUAUACAACUUUCAGCAACGGAUCUCUUGGCUCUCGCAUCGAUGAAGAACGCAGCGAAAUGCGAUAAGUAAUGUGAAUUGCAGAAUUCAGUGAAUCAUCGAAUCUUUGAACGCAUCUUGCGCUCCUUGGUAUUCCGAGGAGCAUGCCUGUUUGAGUGUCAUUAAGUUCUCAACUGCACUAGUUCUUUCUGGUGCAGCUUGGAUGUGGGGGUGUUUUUUUGCAGGCUUUUCAAAGUCGGCUCCCCUGAAAUGCAUUAGUGGUCUCCUAGCAGAGAAACUGCUACAGGUGUGAUAAUUAUCUAUGCCUUUAGUACUCUGCAAGAAUGGAUUGCACUGCUUCUUAACAAGUGAAUCCCUGUUAUGGGGAGUGCACAUUUGACAAAUUUGACCUCAAAUCAGGUAGGACUACCCGCUGAACUUAAGCAUAUC
This 664-nucleotide ribosomal RNA is filed under the name Inocybe sp. YM3065. Its description in RNAcentral is "eukaryotic LSU rRNA". The stretch from base 243 to 396 matches the Rfam family "5.8S ribosomal RNA". Lineage: Eukaryota; Fungi; Basidiomycota; Agaricomycetes; Agaricales; Inocybaceae. The record is from RNAcentral.